This is a small nucleolar RNA of Capsicum annuum, 107 nucleotides long. Lineage: Eukaryota; Viridiplantae; Streptophyta; Magnoliopsida; Solanales; Solanaceae. The record is from RefSeq and is a predicted model, not a curated record.
UAUUGGUGAUGCGAGCAAUCUCUGAGAAAAAAAUUGAAUCGCUCUUAUGCAUGAUAGAGAUUCUAAUCUGGAUUUUUUUUGAAACUCAAGAUCUCACUCCUCAACCU